This 497-nucleotide ribosomal RNA is filed under the name uncultured bacterium. Its description in RNAcentral is "partial 16S ribosomal RNA". It matches the Rfam family "Bacterial small subunit ribosomal RNA", at positions 28 to 507 of the family's 1533-position model. The record is from RNAcentral.
GAUGAACGCUGGCGGCGUGCCUAAUACAUGCAAGUCGAGCGAACAGACGAGGAGCUUGCUCCUCUGACGUUAGCGGCGGACGGGUGAGUAACACGUGGAUAACCUACCUAUAAGACUGGGAUAACUUCGGGAAACCGGAGCUAAUACCGGAUAAUAUAUUGAACCGCAUGGUUCAAUAGUGAAAGACGGUUUUGCUGUCACUUAUAGAUGGAUCCGCGCCGCAUUAGCUAGUUGGUAAGGUAACGGCUUACCAAGGCAACGAUGCGUAGCCGACCUGAGAGGGUGAACGGCCACACUGGGACUGAGACACGGUCCAGACUCCUACGGGAGGCAGCAGUAGGGAAUCUUCCGCAAUGGGCGAAAUCCUGACGGAGCAACGCCGCGUGAGUGAUGAAGGUCUUCGGAUCGUAAAACUCUGUUAUUAGGGAAGAACAAAUGUGUAAGUAACUAUGCACGUCUUGACGGUACCUAAUCAGAAAGCCACGGCUAACUACGUG